CCUACGGGAGGCAGCAGUGAGGAAUAUUGGUCAAUGGACGAGAGUCUGAACCAGCCAAGUAGCGUGAAGGAUGACUGCCCUAUGGGUUGUAAACUUCUUUUAUAUGGGAAUAAAACAGGGUAUGCAUACCCUCUUGUAUGUACCAUAUGAAUAAGGAUCGGCUAAUUCCGUGCCAGCAGCCGCGGUAAUACGGAGGAUCCGAGCGUUAUCCGGAUUUAUUGGGUUUAAAGGGAGCGUAGGUGGAUUGUUAAGUCAGUUGUGAAAGUUUGCGGCUCAACCGUAAAAUUGCAGUUGAAACUGGCAGUCUUGAGUACAGUAGAGGUGGGCGGAAUUCGUGGUGUAGCGGUGAAAUGCUUAGAUAUCACGAAGAACUCCGAUUGCGAAGGCAGCUCACUGGAGUGCAACUGACGCUGAUGCUCGAAGGUGUGGGUAUCGAACAGGAUUAGAUACCCCGGUAGUC
This 460-nucleotide ribosomal RNA is filed under the name uncultured bacterium. Its description in RNAcentral is "partial 16S ribosomal RNA". It matches the Rfam family "Bacterial small subunit ribosomal RNA", at positions 338 to 795 of the family's 1533-position model. The record is from RNAcentral.